GGGAACCGCUCCCUGUGGGAUGGGGCCUGGCAGGGACUUCAGGAACAACUCUGGGUGGCCGUCGGAGACUCGGGUGAAGCCAAGAAGCCGAGGUGGACGCAGGCCAGUAGGUCCUUAAUGCUGGUGCAGUCUCAUCCAAAAGGCCAUCUUCUCCUCCCUGAGCUUCACACCCACCCUUGUGGUGAAAUCCACUUGCAGGACACAGCCAGACUCCUGCAGUUUCUUGCAUGAGACCAACCUGCCCAGACUUUGUGCAUAGACAAGGAACCUAAAUCUCCACUGAGAGGGAAGG
RNAcentral lists this long non-coding RNA (292 nucleotides) under Ursus maritimus (polar bear). Its description in RNAcentral is "lncRNA (ENSUMAG00000020273.1)". The record is from RNAcentral. Lineage: Eukaryota; Metazoa; Chordata; Mammalia; Carnivora; Ursidae.